GAAGCUUUGCGGCGGUAAGACGAGCGCGUCAGUUGACUUUUCUCCGUUUGCUGUUUGUCCUCACACAGCUAUAGAAACAUUAGCCGUCGGUUUAAAAGGCUAAUUUAGCUCAUUACGAAGGGAAAGUUCGCCUAAAGCGCCAUGACUCAAAAGGCAGCGGCUCUUCAGACCUACAACAACGAACUUGUCAAAUGUAUUGAGGACUUGUGCUCGAAGCGGGACGAGCUGAACCGCCAGAUUAAGCUGGAGGAAGAUGAGAAGGAGCGACUCCAGCGUGACAUCCGGGUCCUCUCUGAGAAGCUGAGCAAGGUGAAUGAAAGCCUGGCCCAAAGACUGAUCACCAGGACCAACUUGGACCGUACCAUCGCAGAGACCGAGGCGGCAUACACAAAGCUAAUGAAUGAAAACACAAACUCCUGAGCCGCCCUGUCUGGGAAAACAUCAAGGAGGUCAGGAUCCUCCGUUACACUUUCUACUUAAAGAUCCUGGAGAGUUCCCAGUCCCUAUUGAGCGUCCUAAAACAAGAAGCAGGAAACCUCAGCAAGGCCACAGGGCCUCGGAAAAAGGACCAUUGACGCCACAGAAACCCCACUGAACUCUGUUAGACCACAAUCCUCUCAUUCUGCACUUUUUAACCCACUGAUCUGUUCCGUUGGGUAUUUUUUUUUUCUUUUCUGUAAAGCAAUAAAUGUUUGAUUUUUAACUGUAUAUCUCCAGUGACUCUUUCAGACAAAACAGACUCGUUAACACCUUUUGUUCAAGUCGUCUAUUUAUUCAGCUCUGUUUUUGUACAAGUAUGACAUCUUUGUUUUUUUAAACCCCUUGCCCCCCCCCAUCAGAUUGUAGACAGUAAGUUGACAUCAAGCAAAUGAAGGUUUACAGACAGGAGGGUGAUGAACGGAUGGAUGGAGCUUCUAUCACACUGUGUGACGGGAGGAGACGUACACAGCUGAAUCAGAACCAACAUGUUUGUUUUUUUUCUGCUGGUGUCAUCAAGGACCAUCAAUCAUUUGGAUGGAUCGUCAGACGGGCCACGACUCCACAGCAGCUCAGAAAACAAACUCUAAAAGCUCCGUAAUCAAAUUAUUAACUCAAGCUCUACGUUUCUGUUGUCGCUUCAGAACUAGUAUUGGUCUGACGCAGUGGGGUGAAAUAAUAUUCACCCCACUUAACUAUGAUACCCCCAAAUAAAAUCUAACGCAACCAACUGGAGAAGAUUUAUCAUUUAAUUUUAGAAUUUGCACUUUUUGUUUUAACGUUAAAAGAACAUUUAGUGGAUUUUCUCU
Molecule: RNA transcript, 1286 nt
Organism: Cyprinodon variegatus (sheepshead minnow)
Lineage: Eukaryota; Metazoa; Chordata; Actinopteri; Cyprinodontiformes; Cyprinodontidae
Gene: ssna1
Gene name: Sjogren syndrome nuclear autoantigen 1
Exons: 4
Source: RefSeq, a predicted model, not a curated record